MicroRNA precursor from Meleagrid alphaherpesvirus 1 (Turkey herpesvirus), 64 nucleotides. It matches the Rfam family "hvt-mir-H9 microRNA precursor family". NCBI's taxonomy places the organism in Duplodnaviria, Heunggongvirae, Peploviricota, Herviviricetes, Herpesvirales, Orthoherpesviridae. The record is from Rfam.
UACUUUCUCAUGGACCCCCGAGUUGUGUCUAUUCGUUAACAGCUAGGCCGUCCAUGAGGUCGUA